UGAACCAGCCCCAGAAGAUGCUUUUUAGCUAGAAAUCCGGUACAAUCCAAGUAGCAGCAGAGCAAGCUUUCCCCUAGGCUGCCUCAAUAAUAUGCCUUGAAUUUGACCUGCAGUGAUCAAGCACCUCUAGGGGUGACAGAAUAAUUCAGUCUCCAUGCCCUUUCAUCCUUCAGCAGUU
Molecule: small RNA, 178 nt
Filed under: Gopherus agassizii (Agassiz's desert tortoise)
Lineage: Eukaryota; Metazoa; Chordata; Testudines; Testudinidae
Description: TUC338 (ENSGAGG00000020385.1)
Source: RNAcentral